RNAcentral lists this long non-coding RNA (350 nucleotides) under Phasianus colchicus (ring-necked pheasant). RNAcentral's name for it is "lncRNA (ENSPCLG00000005581.1)". The record is from RNAcentral. Lineage: Eukaryota; Metazoa; Chordata; Aves; Galliformes; Phasianidae.
ACCAUCUCCAUUUGUGACAAUCCCAGCAGACCAGCAUAUGCUCUGCAGAUGUGAUACAUGGAGUUCAUCACUGUCUGCUCCUCCUGGCACAGCCAGAUCAUCAGGUUAUCUUCUACUUGGCUAUUUCCAUGAAAGUCGGCUCUCUCUGGGACGGCUUAUUUCAGCUUCAUCAGCUUUCCAGACCACAGCUGGGGGUUAACACACCACUUCCAUUGAGUGUCACCUUCUUGGAGCACUGCCUGGCUGAUUUCUCCCUGCAUGGAGCAUCACAUACUACCAGCACUCACCUUUAGCUCCUUCUGAUACCCACCUUCAAUAAAUAUUUAGAUUCUGGGAGAACUUUAUACUCU